GAUGAACGCUGGCGGCGUGCCUAAUACAUGCAAGUCGAGCGAACAGACGAGGAGCUUGCUCCUCUGACGUUAGCGGCGGACGGGUGAGUAACACGUGGAUAACCUACCUAUAAUACUGGGAUAACUUCGGGAAACCGGAGCUAAUACCGGAUAAUAUAUUGAACCGCAUGGUUCAAUAGUGAAAGACGGUUUUGCUGUCACUUAUAGAUGGAUCCGCGCCGCAUUAGCUAGUUGGUAAGGUAACGGCUUACCAAGGCAACGAUGCGUAGCCGACCUGAGAGAGUGAUCGGCCACACUGGAACUGAGACACGGUCCAGACUCCUACGGGAGGGAGCAGUAGGGAAUCUUCCGCAAUGGGCGAAAGCCUGACGGAGCAACGCCGAGUGAGUGAUGAAGGUCUUCGGAUCGUAAAACUCUGUUAUUAGGGAAGAACAAAUGUGUAAGUAACUAUGCACGUCUUGACGGUAACUAAUCAGAAAGCCACGGCUAACUACGUG
RNAcentral lists this ribosomal RNA (497 nucleotides) under uncultured bacterium. RNAcentral's name for it is "partial 16S ribosomal RNA". It matches the Rfam family "Bacterial small subunit ribosomal RNA", at positions 28 to 507 of the family's 1533-position model. The record is from RNAcentral.